This 1541-nucleotide long non-coding RNA is filed under the name Felis catus (domestic cat). RNAcentral's name for it is "lncRNA (ENSFCAG00000047916.1)". Lineage: Eukaryota; Metazoa; Chordata; Mammalia; Carnivora; Felidae. The record is from RNAcentral.
AUAUAAUAAAGGAAAAGCACCUAUACAAUGUCAGAUUCCGUAGUUUAAAGCCCAACACUAAGGAACAGCAUCAAGCCCUUUUUUUUUUUUUUUUUUUUUUUUUUUUUUUUUUUUUUUUUUUUUUUUUUUUUUUUUUUUUUUUUUUUUUUUUUUUUUUUUUUUUUUUUUUUUUUUUUUUUUUUUUUUUUUUUUUUUUUUUUUUUUUUUUUUUUUUUUUUUUUUUUUUUUUUUUUUUUUUUUUUUUUUUUUUUUUUUUUUUUUUUUUUUUUUUUUUUUUUUUUUUUUUUUUUUUUUUUUUUUUUUUUUUUUUUUUUUUUUUUUUUUUUUUUUUUUUUUUUUUUUUUUUUUUUUUUUUUUUUUUUUUUUUUUUUUUUUUUUUUUUUUUUUUUUUUUUUUUUUUUUUUUUUUUUUUUUUUUUUUUUUUUUUUUUUUUUUUUUUUUUUUUUUUUUUUUUUUUUUUUUUUUUUUUUUUUUUUUUUUUUUUUUUUUUUUUUUUUUUUUUUUUUUUUUUUUUUUUUUUUUUUUUUUUUUUUUUUUUUUUUUUUUUUUUUUUUUUUUUUUUUUUUUUUUUUUUUUUUUUUUUUUUUUUUUUUUUUUUUUUUUUUUUUUUUUUUUUUUUUUUUUUUUUUUUUUUUUUUUUUUUUUUUUUUUUUUUUUUUUUUUUUUUUUUUUUUUUUUUUUUUUUUUUUUUUUUUUUUUUUUUUUUUUUUUUUUUUUUUUUUUUUUUUUUUUUUUUUUUUUUUUUUUUUUUUUUUUUUUUUUUUUUUUUUUUUUUUUUUUUUUUUUUUUUUUUUUUUUUUUUUUUUUUUUUUUUUUUUUUUUUUUUUUUUUUUUUUUUUUUUUUUUUUUUUUUUUUUUUUUUUUUUUUUUUUUUUUUUUUUUUUUUUUUUUUUUUUUUUUUUUUUUUUUUUUUUUUUUUUUUUUUUUUUUUUUUUUUUUUUUUUUUUUUUUUUUUUUUUUUUUUUUUUUUUUUUUUUUUUUUUUUUUUUUUUUUUUUUUUUUUUUUUUUUUUUUUUUUUUUUUUUUUUUUUUUUUUUUUUUUUUUUUUUUUUUUUUUUUUUUUUUUUUUUUUUUUUUUUUUUUUUUUUUUUUUUUUUUUUUUUUUUUUUUUUUUUUUUUUUUUUUUUUUUUUUUUUUUUUUUUUUUUUUUUUUUUUUUUUUUUUUUUUUUUUUUUUUUUUUUUUUUUUUUUUUUUUUUUUUUUUUUUUUUUUUUUUUUUUUUUUUUUUUUUUUUUUUUUUUUUUUUUUUUUUUUUUUUUUUUUUUUUUUUUUUUUUUUUUUUUUUUUUUUUUUUUUUUUUUUUUUUUUUUUUUUUUUUUUUUUUUUUUUUUUUUUUUUUUUUUUUUUUUUUUUUUUUUUUUUUUUUUUUUUUUUUUUUUUUUUUUUUUUUUUUUUUUUUUUUUUUUUUUUUUUUUUUUUUUUUUUUAUUUGUUAAAAAAGUUUGAAAUAUCCAAUAAAUUUCGUUCCACUCCUGAUUGUGUCCCACUUGUUGUUGAUUCUUCACAAAAAAAUUACAGUUCAUAUCUGAUGUUUUGAAAUAU